UCCAGAGGAAGGCUCGUCCGCUCUGGGUUAGUCGGGUCCUAAGCUGAGGCCGACAGGCGUAGGCGAUGGAUAACAGGUUGAUAUUCCUGUACCACCAUUAUUCGUUUUAAGCGAUGGGGGGACGCAGUAGGAUAGGCGAAGCGUGCUGUUGGAGUGCACGUCCAAGCAGUGAGAUUGAGUGUUAGGCAAAUCCGGCACUCUUAAGAUUGAGCUGUGAUGGGGAGAGGAACUUGUUCCUCGAGUCGUUGAUUUCACACUGCCGAGAAAAGCCUCUAGCUAGAAUAACGGUGCCCGUACCGCAAACCGACACAGGUAGUCAAGAUGAGAAUUCUAAGGUGAGCGAGCGAACUCUCGUUAAGGAACUCGGCAAAAUGACCCCGUAACUUCGGGAGAAGGGGUGCUCUUUGAGGUUCACGCUUCGAAGAGCCGCAGUGAAUAGGCCCAAGCGACUGUUUAUCAAAAACACAGGUCUCUGCUAAACCGUAAGGUGACGUAUAGGGGCUGACGCCUGCCCGGUGCUGGAAGGUUAAGAGGAGUGGUUAGCGCAAGCGAAGCUACGAAUCGAAGCCCCAGUAAACGGCGGCCGUAACUAUAACGGUCCUAAGGUAGCGAAAUUCCUUGUCGGGUAAGUUCCGACCCGCACGAAAGGCGUAACGAUUUGGGCACUGUCUCAACGAGAGACUCGGUGAAAUCAUAGUACCGGUGAAGAUGCCGGUUACCCGCGACAGGACGGAAAGACCCCGUGGAGCUUUACUGUAGCCUGAUAUUGAAAUUCGGUACAGUUUGUACAGGAUAGGUAGGAGCCUUAGAAGCGUGAGCGCUAGCUUACGUGGAGGCAUUGGUGGGAUACUACCCUAAUUGUAUUGGAUUUCUAACCCGCAGCACUUAUCGUGCUGGGAGACAGUGUCAGGCGGGCAGUUUGACUGGGGCGGUCGCCUCCUAAAGAGUAACGGAGGCGCUCAAAGGUUCCCUCAGAAUGGUUGGAAAUCAUUCAUAGAGUGUAAAGGCAUAAGGGAGCUUGACUGCGAGACCUACAAGUCGAGCAGGGUCGAAAGACGGACUUAGUGAUCCGGUGGUUCCGCAUGGAAGGGCCAUCGCUCAACGGAUAAAAGCUACCCCGGGGAUAACAGGCUUAUCUCCCCCAAGAGUUCACAUCGACGGGGAGGUUUGGCACCUCGAUGUCGGCUCAUCGCAUCCUGGGGCUGUAGUCGGUCCCAAGGGUUGGGCUGUUCGCCCAUUAAAGCGGUACGCGAGCUGGGUUCAGAACGUCGUGAGACAGUUCGGUCCCUAUCCGUCGUGGGCGUAGGAAAUUUGAGAGGAGCUGUCCUUAGUACGAGAGGACCGGGAUGGACAUACCUCUGGUGUACCAGUUGUCGUGCCAACGGCAUAGCUGGGUAGCUAUGUAUGGACGGGAUAAGUGCUGAAAGCAUCUAAGCAUGAAGCCCCCCUCGAGAUGAGAUUUCCCAACUUCGGUUAUAAGAUCCCUCAAAGAUGAUGAGGUGAAUAGGUUCGAGGUGGAAGCGUAGCGAUACGUGGAGCUGACGAAUACUA
This 1551-nucleotide ribosomal RNA is filed under the name Staphylococcus pseudintermedius. Its description in RNAcentral is "partial 23S ribosomal RNA". It matches the Rfam family "Bacterial large subunit ribosomal RNA", at positions 1353 to 2903 of the family's 2925-position model. Lineage: Bacteria; Bacillati; Bacillota; Bacilli; Caryophanales; Staphylococcaceae. The record is from RNAcentral.